GAUCCACCCGCCUCAGCCUCCCAAAGUGCUGGGAUUACAGGCAUGAGCCACCAUGCCUGGCCUCUCUGCCCCAUCUUAUAGGCACCCUGGGGCCUAGGAUGGGGCUGGGGUGCAGGGGAUGGGGAGGGAGGCUGGGCCCCCUGGAGGAUCAGUAACUCUGUUAUAUGUCUUCACUAUAAUCUCAUUUUGGGCUGCACUCUGCUUUUGUUUUUGUUUGGGAGCCUGCUUGGAGGCCAGCACUAACAGAAACAUGCAAGGGCAGAAGCAGAGCUGGCCAUCGGGAGGUGGGUGGCCUGCAGGGCCUAGCUCUGUGGCGCAUGGAUUGGUGUGUCAGUCGCCCUUCCUGGCAGCAGCUCUCAGUGAUUAGGCUUGGAGGAGCCUUGGCUUUAAGUUCUCUUUGGGGAAGGGCGGAUAUUAGUGCUUAAGAAACGCCACUCCCGAGGAAACCCACCUGGAUGUUUUUCUCUGUAACUGGCCAUUUGGAGACAGGGCCAGGCUGUGCAUAGGCUUUUGAGUUUCUCAGGUGCCUACAUGGGGCUCAAAAUGAUGAUGCAAUCAAUCCGUUUCUUGACUUUUGGGCCUGGGUCCAGCUCAGAAUGGAGGUGUGCUCCAUGGGCUUGCCUUCGGAGAAGAUGGUUAGCAGGGCUGUGGGAAGGGAUGUGUGGUGGACAGAGGUACAGGCUCCCCAAGGCUUAGAGGCUUCAGAAGCCCAUGUCAGGCACGUGGGGCCCAGGUUCAAAGCAGAGGAUGGAGAAGGGAGGGUUAAAGCCUUCCUUCUGACGUUGAUAUGUGUGUCUCAGCACUGGGACCUGGAGCAGUCGGCUUCGGAGGCCCGUUGGACUGUUGAAUAUUGAUGGUGUGGGUUUGGCUGAGGAGCAUAGGCAGGUGUGUUUGCCAUUCUUAUGUACUCAGGAGGGGUAUGAAGGGCAAGUCAGUGGCACAAUUCAAGCAAAGUGCUGCUGUUACUCGAGCAUUUGCUGUGUGCCAGGAUCUUCACACGGACAGCCUCAGUUUUCAUAGGAGUCACUUUUAGGCAUUUUAUCUCCAUUUUGCAGUUGAAGCAAUUGAUACUUAAGAUGGUAGUAUCUUUGUUUAGUGUGAAGAGCCAGGAAUUGAGUGGGGAAUGCCCUUAUGGCAGCAAGACAGUGGCACCAAGUCCUGCCUAGGUGGCUUGUCCAAUGAUCAGAGUCCAAGGCCACAUUGCUACCAAGUGGCAGAGCUGGAAUCAGCGCUACUCAGCCUCACACAUUUUGCUCCCUGUGCCUCUUCAGAACUUCGGCCUGUCACAUGUGUGCAGCUGUGGGAGCCCAGAUUGUGAGUUGAUCAAGGUCAGGGCCACACCCUGCACUUCCUGCCUGACACAGAGUAGGUGCUGGACAGACAUUUGUGUUGUGAAAGAGUGAGUGAGUGAAUGAAAGACACACCAUGGGGAUAGAAAAAUAAGGGGCAGGCCCCAGGGCGGUUGGCAGAUGUGAAAUGUGGUUUAAAGACUUGGCAGUAAAUCUGUGGCUAGGCCCCCCUUCUCCUUUCAUUCCCUUCUUCCUUCCUUCUUGGGAUUCAGAAUUGCUCUCUGGGCAGAGGGCUGCGGAGCAGGAGCGAGGCUGCAGGUGUGAGAAGGACCCCGCCGUGCCAGGGCAGCCUCAAGGAGCUGUUGAGCGAGUUGAGCCCAGAAGACAAAGGUCGCUGAAGUCCUUCCAGGAGAAGAAGAUCAAUGCCUGGGCUGAGCCUGCGGUUAACAUCUUAAUAGUAACCGGAGAGUUUCUGAGAGAUUAGGUGAUGAUAUAUACUCAGAGCUCAGACAGUUAAUUUGCAUUGUGUCCUAUAUUCCUGAAAAGUUGCUUUCAGAUUCUUAUUGAUGUGCUCACAUUUUUUGGGGUAAUUGUCCUCCUUUGACAUUAAUAACCCCCCUGUUUACUCUCAGGCUCACAUACCUCUCAGAGUCCAGGAGGCAGUGAGGGAAAGCUUUUAAUUCAAAGCCCUAUCCAUCUUCCCAACUCAGGUGAGAUGGGGACUAGAAAGUCGGUCUGGCUGAAGCUAAGUGAGGCCAGCCUUCUGGGUGUUGGGUAUCAGGUUCUGGACGGGGCUGGCAGUUGUGUGUGGGGCUCAUGGAUGGUUUUAGGCCCUUCUGCCCCCUUUGUCAGUGUGCCCUUGUGGGAAGCCGGUGCGUUUCCAGGGGAGCUGCUGGAGGCUUCUUAUGGCAUGCAGAUCAAGGAAGACCUGUAGACUACAUGCACCCUGGCGCUCUGGGAACGGGGAGCCAUGGAACGUGCGUGAAGCGGUGUGUAAAACUGGAGAGAAAAACCCUAAGGAGACCUCAUCGGACGUUCCUGUGAUAAUCUAGGCCUCAGGACAGGCAGACUGGGAUGCUUGUGUUACCCCUAACUUUAGAUUACUCUCCCACUGCUCCCCUCCUUCACUGUAGAUUCCCACAAUUUCAGUAUCAAUGUAAUUACAAUUUAGGGGCUUAGAAACUCCUGUAUUUAUUGAGAACCCACUUAAUUUACAUAUAUUGAGUUUCAA
RNAcentral lists this long non-coding RNA (2520 nucleotides) under Homo sapiens (human). RNAcentral's name for it is "HSALNT0379119". The record is from RNAcentral. Lineage: Eukaryota; Metazoa; Chordata; Mammalia; Primates; Hominidae.